UAAGAUGGUUGUAACAGAGGAACAUGCGGCGAAGAAAGCCGAAGCNAUUUCCCCGGCCGCGUAACCAGGUAUAACUUUGAUCAAGAUAUAAUCGUUCUCCAUAAUAGUGAUGGCAGACCAAACUUUCCGUUAGGUGAACYUGCGGAAGGAUCAUUA
This 156-nucleotide ribosomal RNA is filed under the name Thelidium pluvium. RNAcentral describes it as "partial 18S small subunit ribosomal RNA". The record is from RNAcentral. Lineage: Eukaryota; Fungi; Ascomycota; Eurotiomycetes; Verrucariales; Verrucariaceae.